AACAUAAGGGGUGCUAUUUUAUGGCUGAGACUAUACCCGUAUAACCUGAUUCGGAUAAUGCCGACGUAGGGAAAUCGUGAUACUA
This 85-nucleotide non-coding RNA is filed under the name fish gut metagenome. RNAcentral describes it as "TPP riboswitch (THI element)". The stretch from base 4 to 75 matches the Rfam family "TPP riboswitch aptamer (THI element)", at positions 8 to 91 of the family's 105-position model. Rfam says of the family: Vitamin B(1) in its active form thiamin pyrophosphate (TPP) is an essential coenzyme that is synthesised by coupling of pyrimidine and thiazole moieties in bacteria. The previously detected thiamin-regulatory element, thi box was extended, resulting in a new, highly conserved RNA secondary structure, the THI element, which is widely distributed in eubacteria and also occurs in some archaea. The record is from RNAcentral.